RNAcentral lists this ribosomal RNA (468 nucleotides) under uncultured bacterium. Its description in RNAcentral is "partial 16S ribosomal RNA". It matches the Rfam family "Bacterial small subunit ribosomal RNA", at positions 28 to 507 of the family's 1533-position model. The record is from RNAcentral.
GACGAACGCUGGCGGCGUGCUUAACACAUGCAAGUCGAACGGAAAGGCCCUGCUUUUGUGGGGUGCUCGAGUGGCGAACGGGUGAGUAACACGUGAGUAACCUGCCCUUGACUUUGGGAUAACUUCAGGAAACUGGGGCUAAUACCGGAUAGGAGCUCCUGCUGCAUGGUGGGGGUUGGAAAGUUUCGGCGGUUGGGGAUGGACUCGCGGCUUAUCAGCUUGUUGGUGGGGUAGUGGCUUACCAAGGCUUUGACGGGUAGCCGGCCUGAGAGGGUGACCGGCCACAUUGGGAUUGAGAUACGGCCCAGACUCCUACGGGAGGCAGCAGUGGGGAAUAUUGCACAAUGGGCGGAAGCCUGAUGCAGCAACGCCGCAUGCGGGAUGACGGCCUUCGGGUUGUAAACCGCUUUCGCCUGUGACGAAGCGUGAGUGACGGUAAUGGGUAAAGAAGCACCGGCUAACUACGUG